Molecule: ribosomal RNA, 495 nt
Filed under: uncultured bacterium
Lineage: Bacteria
Description: partial 16S ribosomal RNA
Rfam family: Bacterial small subunit ribosomal RNA
Source: RNAcentral
GAUGAACGCUGGCGGCGUGCCUAAUACAUGCAAGUCGAGCGAACAGACGAGGAGCUUGCUCCUCUGACGUUAGCGGCGGACGGGUGAGUAACACGUGGAUAACCUACCUAUAAGACUGGGAUAACUUCGGGAAACCGGAGCUAAUACCGGAUAAUAUAUUGAACCGCAUGGUUCAAUAGUGAAAGACGGUUUUGCUGUCACUUAUAGAUGGAUCCGCGCCGCAUUAGCUAGUUGGUAAGGUAACGGCUUACCAAGGCAACGAUGCGUAGCCGACCUGAGAGGGUGAUCGGCCACACUGGAACUGAGACACGGUCCAGACUCCUACGGGAGGCAGCAGUAGGGAAUCUUCCGCAAUGGGCGAAAGCCUGACGGGCAACGCCGCGUGAGUGAUGAAGGUCUUCGGAUCGUAAAACUCUGUUAUUAGGGAAGAACAAAUGUGUAAGUAACUAUGCACGUCUUGACGGUACCGAAUCAGAAAGCCACGGCUAACUACGU